RNAcentral lists this ribosomal RNA (253 nucleotides) under uncultured bacterium. Its description in RNAcentral is "partial 16S ribosomal RNA". It matches the Rfam family "Bacterial small subunit ribosomal RNA", at positions 524 to 776 of the family's 1533-position model. The record is from RNAcentral.
UACAGAGGGUGCAAGCGUUGUUCGGAAUUAUUGGGCGUAAAGGGCGCGUAGGCGGUGCGGUAAGUCUGUAGUGAAAUCUCUGGGCUCAACUCAGAGUCUGCUGCAGAAACUGCCGUGCUUGAGUGUGGGAGAGGUGAGUGGAAUUCCCGGUGUAGAGGUGAAAUUCGUAGAUAUCGGGAGGAACACCUGUGGCGAAAGCGGCUCACUGGACCACAACUGACGCUGAGGCACGAAAGCUAGGGGAGCAAACAGG